This 253-nucleotide ribosomal RNA is filed under the name uncultured bacterium. Its description in RNAcentral is "partial 16S ribosomal RNA". It matches the Rfam family "Bacterial small subunit ribosomal RNA", at positions 524 to 776 of the family's 1533-position model. The record is from RNAcentral.
UACGGAGGGUGCAAGCGUUGUUCGGAAUUAUUGGGCGUAAAGCGCACGUAGGCGGCUAUCUAAGUCGGAUGUGAAAUCCCUCGGCUUAACCAAGGAAGUGCACCCGAAACUGGAUAGCUUGAGUACAGAAGAGGAUCGCGGAAUUCCCGGUGUAGAGGUGAAAUUCGUAGAUAUCGGGAGGAACACCAGUGGCGAAGGCGGCGAUCUGGGCUGAUACUGACGCUGAGGCGCGAAAGCGUGGGGAGCAAACAGG